UACGAAGGGGGCUAGCGUUGUUCGGAUUUACUGGGCGUAAAGGGUGCGUAGGUGGCUAGGUAAGUUCGAUGUGAAAUCUCCGGGCUUAACCCGGAAAGUGCAUUGAAUACUAUCUAGCUUGAGGGUUGGAGGGGGGACUGGAAUUCUCGGUGUAGCAGUGAAAUGCGUAGAUAUCGAGAGGAACACCAGUGGCGAAGGCGAGUCCCUGGACAACUCCUGACACUGAGGCACGAAAGCUAGGGGAGCAAACGUG
RNAcentral lists this ribosomal RNA (253 nucleotides) under uncultured bacterium. RNAcentral describes it as "partial 16S ribosomal RNA". It matches the Rfam family "Bacterial small subunit ribosomal RNA", at positions 524 to 776 of the family's 1533-position model. The record is from RNAcentral.